UAGCAUUAGCAUAUUAGCUAGCUAACAGUCGUCGAUGCAUUUCUGACUGAAAUAGUUUGCAAUGCCUACGUUCAAAUUACAGCCCCGCGAAGGACGUGCUAAUGAACAUUGUUCAGUGCCUCUGUGUUCAGGUUCUUCAAAAUGUAAUGGUGUUGUGAGCUUCCGUAGUUUCCAAGUCGAUGUAGAGCUCAGGAAGCGGUGGUUGGUGGCAGAACGUCGUGACUACUUUACUGUCACCAAAUGCGCAAAGUUGUGUAGUACACAUUUCGUCAAGAGUGACUUUGUUGAGGGAAAAAUUGUGGGGCGACAAUACCUAAAAAGAGGUGUUGUUCCUACAGUCUUCGAGUGGAACUGGCACAUUCAAAAGAGACCUGGUGUUUGGGAAAGAAGACUGAAACCUCCUGCCCGGACUGAGGGGGAUGAAGAACAAGGUGCGCUGCCUGUGGACUGUGCCGUCUCUUGAUCUGGUCCAGACAUAUGAUUACUGUGCAGUCCCCGAACAUGGCCCUAAUGGCAAACCAUGAGCACAUAAGAGAAAUUGAGGAGCUUCGAGCCAAGAUGGAGAAACUGACGGCACAACACGGCUUUGGUCUACAGCGAUUUGCUGGUUCUGACGAGGAUAUACGUUUUUACACAAGGUUCAGACCCUGCCAUCAAUCGACUAGUUCUUCUUGUUUAUUACUCAUCUGUCGCUGGGUCUGAAGCAGAAGGAUUUGGCCCAUCGGUUCAGGAUCCAGCAAUCGACAGUGAUACAGAUUAUCAUCGCUUGAGCCAUCUUCCUCUACUUUCUGCUUGGUUCAGCACAGAUUUUUUUUAUUUUUCCUUUAUUUAACUAGGCAAGUCAGUUAAGAACAAAUUCUUAUUUUCAAUGACUGCCUAGGAACAGUGGGUUAACUGCCUGUUCAGGGGCAGAACGACAGAUUGGUACCUUGUCAGCACGGGGGGUUUGAACUUGCAACCUUUCGGUAACUAGUCCAACACUCUAACCACUAGGCUACCCUGCCGCCCCAAUAUGGAUAUGAAUCCCCAAGGAAAUAUCAACGUGCAGCUGCCACCUGAGUCCAAGGACUACAUGGAAAGAAUGAAAAACUGAGCAAACUAGAAUGCUAUUUGGCCCUAAACAGAGAAACACUGGCAGAAUACCUGACCACUGUGACUGACCCAAAAUUAAGUAAAGCUUUGACUAUGUACAGACUCAGUGAGCAAAGUCUUGCUAUUGAGAAAGGCUGCCAUGGGCAGACCUGGCUCUCAAGAGAAAGACUAUGUGCCCACAAAAUGAGGUGGAAACUGAGCUGCACUUCCUAACCUCCUGCCAAAUGUAUGGCUAUAUUAGAGACACAUAAUUAUUUCCCUCAGAUUACACAGACCCACAAAGAACUUGAAAACAAAUACAAUUUUGAUAAACUCUCAUAUCUAUUGGGUGAAAUACCACAGUGUGCAAUCACAGAAGCAAGAUUUGUGACCCGUUGCCACAAGAAUAGGGCAACCAGUGAAGAAAAAACACAAUUUUAAAUACAACCCCUAUUUAUGUUUAUUUACCCUUUUUUACUUUAAAUAUAACAUAUGUUUCCCAUGCCAAUAAGGCCCCUUAUAUUGAAAUGUAAUUAAAUGAAAUUGGAGAGAGAGAGAGAGAAAUGACCCUCAUCUGUGUGUAUAUGCCUGUUUGUGUGUGUGUGUGUCCAAAUCAAAUCAUAUUUAUUGGUCACAUACACAUGGUUAGCAGAUGUUAAUGCAAGUGUAGAGAAAUGCUUGUGCUUCUAGUUCUGACCGUGCAGUUACAUCUAACAAGUAAUCUAACAAUUUCACAACAACUACCUUAUUCACACAAGUGUAAAGGAAUGAAUAAGAAUAUGUACAUAAAAAUAUAUGGACGAGCGAUGGCCGUGCGGAAUAGGUAAGAUGCAGUAGAUGGUAUAGACUACAGUAUAUACAUAUGAGAUGAGUAAUGUAGGGUAUGUAAACAUUAUAUAAAGUGGCAUUAUUUAAAGUGACUAGUGAUAUAUUUAUUACAUCCAUUUUUUAAAUUAUUAAUGUGGCUAGAGAUUUGAGUCAGUACGUUGGCAGCAGCCACUCAAUGUUAGUGAUGGCUGUUUAACAGUCUGAUGACCUUGAGAUAGAAGCUAUUUUUCAGUCUCUCCAGCUUUGACGCAUCUGUACUGACCUCGCCUUCUGGAUGAUAGCAGGGUGAACAGGCAGUGGCUCGGGUGGUUGUUGUCCUUGAUAUCUUUGGCCUUCCUGUGACAUCGGGUGGCGUAGGUGUCCUGGAGGGCAUGCGUUGUGCAGGCCUCACUACCUUCUGGAGAGCCUUACAGCAGUUGCCGUACCAGGCGGUGAUACAGCCCGACAGGACGCUCUCGAUUGUGCAUCUGUAAAAGUUUGUGUGUUUUCGGUGACAAGCCAAAGUUCUUCAGCCUCCUGAGGAUGAAGAGCUGUUGCGCCUUCUUCACCACGCUGUCUGUGUGUUUGGACCAUUUCAGUUUGUCCGUGAUGUGUACACCGAGGAACUAAAAACUUUCCACCUUCUCCACUACUGUCCCAUUGAUGUGGAUAGGGGGGUGCUUCCUCUGCUGUUUCCUGAAGUCCAAGAUCAUCUCCUUUGUUUUGUUGACGUUGAGUGUGAGGUUAUUUUCCUGACACCACACUCUGAGGGCCCUCACCUCCUCCAUGUAGGCCAUCUCGUUGUUGUUGGUAAUUGUUACGAAUCCCUUUUGGCCCGACAGUCUAGGGGGGAUGGUAAUGAGACCCGUAACAUAACUCAUGCAAAUUAUUAUGGUGACAAAGUAAAAGUGUGCACGAAAUAACCACGACAACAGAAAUCUACCGUCAAACUCUAGGUUUAUUUAUAAACACACGGUAAUGGGGGGAGCAGGAAAAGGGGCUGAGCUGGACCCAAGGAAAGAAACAAUAAGUAUUCAAAAACACCCCUAAGCUAGACUAGCCUACUUUAACAACAGCUAACUAACUAACCAAAAAUACAGUGGGUGGUCCGCCCAGUUCUAACUAGUGUAUUUAACAAAGUUCACCUACGGGUAGUGUAUGCCCAUGGGCGACUUGUCUUGGUUUCCCCUUUUCCCACCAGCAACAAACAAACACCAUAACCAAAAACAAUACUCACAGGUGAUGACAAAGUGCUAUGAGGUGCUUAAACAAAAGAGAGGUUAAGACACAAAGCGAGAGUGAAACACAGAGACCUACAGACAUGGCAUUUACAGAGAGAUUGCUAGAGAUUGAGCUAGAGCAAACAAAUGAUGGGGUUUUUAAACCAUGGGGAAGGAACUGUGAUAGGGUAGGAAAUAGGAGGAGGUGUGUCUUCUGAUUGAUGAUUGAUUGUUGACUGAUUGGGGAGUGAUGGUUUUCACCUGUGAGGGGAGAAGGAGAGAAAAGAAACACACACAGGAUACACACACACACAGGAUAACUGUAUCCGUAACAGUAAUCAAGCCUACCGCUAUAGUGUCGUCUGCAAACUUGAUGAUUGAGUUGGAGGCGUGCAUGGUCACGCAGUCAUGGGUGAACAGGGAGUACAGGAGAGGGCUGAGAACGCACCCUUGAGGGGACCCAGUGUUGAGGAUCAGCGGGGUGGAGAUGUUGUUUCCUACCCUCACCACCUGGGUGCGGCCCGUCAGAAAGUCCAGGACCCAGUUGCACAGCUUAAUGAUGAGUUUGGAAGGUACUAUGGUGUUAAAUGCUGAGCUGUAAUCGAUGAACAGCAUUCUUGCAUAGCUAUUCCUCUUGUCCAGAUGGGUUAGGGCAGUGUGAUUUCGAUUGCGUCAUCUGUGGACCUAUUGGGGCGGUAAGCAAAUUGGAGUGAGUCUAGGGUGUCAGGUAGGGUGGAGGUGAUAUGAUCCUUGACUAGUCUCUCAAAGCACUUCACGAUGACAGAAGUGAGUGCUACGAGGCGAUAGUUGUUAAGCUCAGUUACCUUAACUUUCUUGGGAACAGGAACAAUGGUGGCCCUCUUGAAGCAUGUGGGAACAGCAGACUGGGAUAGGGAUUGAUUGAAUAUGUCCGUAAACACACCAGCCAGCUGGUCUGCGCAUGCUCUAGGGAUGCCGUCUGGGCCAGCAGCCUUGCUGGCCCAUCGUUUAAAUGUUUUACUGAUGUUGGCUACAGUGAAGGAGAGCCCACAGGUUUUGGUAGCAGGCCGUGUCAGUGGCACUGUAUUGUCCUCAAAGCGAGCAAAGAAGUUGUUUAGUUUGUCUGUGAGCAAGACGUCGGUGUCUGUGACGGGACUGGUUUUCUUUUUGUAAUCUGUGAUUGACUGUAGACCCUGCCACAUAUGUAUCUUGUCUGAGAGAGAGUAAUAGGAUACGGCAUGUGUCAAAAUUGAUUGAUUGCUGACCUGAUGACCUGUACAGAAUAUGUGCCCCCGCCCCCCCCACCUGUUCGUGUGGUCAUGUGUUAGAGGGUGUUUGAACUUUUGGGGCCCAUGCCCCCCCUCCACCCCCCAGUUUUAUCUCCCUUAUGGUUGUUAUCUAUGAAGCAGGAAUGUCUGGGGCUAUAGAUAGCGCUGGGGCCUCAGCAUUAUAAAUGUCCAGAACAAGCCAUUUUUUAAGACCUGAAUAUUAAGCAUCUAAAAAUAUGUCUACAAGGGGAAUUCUCGGAGUGCUCUGUAGCUCAUGUCACGAACCCAACGCCAAAAGCUUGGAGGAUAUUUUGGUAGAGGCUCCCGAAUGUUUUAACGGAUUUCUGUGUACAAGCGAGGGCCAUAUUUCGUACAUAUUCAACCCGGAGGAAUCUACGGUUAAGAUAUUCACAGACAGCGUGUCCCAACCCUUUUAUCGUGCAGAACCCGAGCCUUUUUCUCUAGUGCUAAGGAUGCGAGAAUGGCUUAAAAUAAGGCUAGCUUUGUGUCAAAUGGAACGUGCCCUGAGUGCUUCAAGGCUGCCAGGAUAUGCGUUGGAAGAACAAGUCUGUGGACGUCAGGAUCUAAUGGCCCUGAGAGUCACAUCCAUGGGUUAUACCCCGGACUCCAGAGUGACAAUUUUAGCAUGUGAAUAAUUUGACAGGUCAAAUGCUACGAAAACGGUCAGUCCAUAUGUAUCCUCCAAAGCAUGCAAGGAUGUAACAUUUUUUCAAAUAAUGUUCAGUUUUAAAUGGCGCGAUUACCACAUUUUCCGAACCCUGAUGAAUAAGCUGGACAGUCUUUUCGAAAAUCGUGAACAAUUACGGCGAUGGCCUAGGUUAUCGUUGAGACAUACCCCGGAACAACAUAGGUUAUCGUUGAGACAUACACCGGAACAACAAGUUCGAAGGCGGAUCUUUCCCUGGCAGGAAAGUGGACAGAGCUUCGACGGAGCGCGCGGAAAAUACUUUGUGAUGGGGAAUUGGAAACGGAUAAUGUUCAGGGCUAACAGGACCCCAUAUAUCUGUAAGAAAUAGUUAAAAUAAAUGUUGAAUUAUAACGUGUGUUAAAAUGUAGGUGUUAAUUUUUGAAAAUGUAUACCCCCCCCAUUUAACUAAGGGGUAGCGCUCUUUUCUCUCAAGCUAGGGUCUGGCGCAGACAACUGUAAGAUCUGAAAAAAAACAUGUAUUAUUUUAUAGUCUAUUCCUACAUUGGGUAUGUUAUGAACAUUACGUUUUAUUAAAGUUUGUAAUAAUGUACAAAGA
Molecule: long non-coding RNA, 5610 nt
Organism: Oncorhynchus nerka (sockeye salmon)
Lineage: Eukaryota; Metazoa; Chordata; Actinopteri; Salmoniformes; Salmonidae
Exons: 2
Source: RefSeq, a predicted model, not a curated record